UUUUAUGAUGCGAUAAUUUGCGAUUGACACUAAGUUCGGGAGGCUCUCGCCGGAGCUUCAAAACCGACUUGGUGAUGUGAUAUUCAAUUUCUUACAUAUUCUGAAU
Molecule: small nucleolar RNA, 106 nt
Filed under: Xylona heveae TC161
Lineage: Eukaryota; Fungi; Ascomycota; Xylonomycetes; Xylonales; Xylonaceae
Description: A. fumigatus snoRNA Afu_514
Rfam family: A. fumigatus snoRNA Afu_514
Source: Rfam by way of RNAcentral